This is a long non-coding RNA of Papaver somniferum (opium poppy), 1714 nucleotides long. RefSeq lists it as uncharacterized. The record is from RefSeq and is a predicted model, not a curated record. The transcript has 3 exons. NCBI's taxonomy places the organism in Eukaryota, Viridiplantae, Streptophyta, Magnoliopsida, Ranunculales, Papaveraceae.
CUCUUUUCUUUCUCGUUCCUUCCUCUUUCUUCUUCUUUUUCCUGUUUUUCGUCUCUCGUUCUUUUGUGUGAAGAUUUUUAGUUUGAGAUCGGAAAAAUUAAGUGAAGCGUUAGGAGUUGAUUGUUGAUGCUGGUGUUGUUAUUGGUUUGGCGAGGAAAGGAGAAGAAAUGAUAGGCUCGAGAGAAUUAGAGUUAGGGUUUCUGGAAGAUGAAAUUGAUUGAAGAAUUAUGUGGAUUUGAAUAUGAAGUGGAUCAAUUGAUGAUGGGUAUUUUUUUUUUAAAACAAGUGAGAAGAAUUAGCUGUUCAUUUAGGAAUUUAAUGAAGAUUUGAGAAGAUUAGGGUUUUCCUGGAAAUCGAAUUAAGAUUCGAUUUAAGUGGUGAAUUAAGAUUAAUUGGAUAGAUUCAGUAGAUGCGUUUGUUCGCUUGAAGCUGUUAAGGAAGAAAUUGAAGAGUUUGAUUGAUGUUUUGAGUUGAAUUCGAGAUUGAAGUUAAUUAAGGUUUCUCAGAAGAUUUAAUAGAAGUUUGAUUAGUGAUAAUUAAGAUGGAAUUAAAGAUGGGUUUUAUCUGAAUUAGAGUUUGAGGUUGAAGAGUAGUUUGGAAUUGGUAAGUAGGGUUUGGUUCUGUUUUAUUGAAGGUUUAGGAUUUGAAUUGGAGUUUAAUUGAGAACCAGUGAUGGGUUGAAGCUUUUGGGUAUGGUUCGAGUUGUGCUGAUGAGUUCUGAGUAAUCUUGAGAUGUGUUGGUGAAUCAAAAUCAAAGUGAGAAGCAGGGUCUGAUUGAGUUGCUUGAGGAAAGUUAUCUUGAGGUAAUUGUUUGAUCUCAGCAAAUCUAAGUUUAGUUAUUCAUUUCAGUUUUGAGUUUGUGAAGUUGUUAAUGAUAUUAGAAUUGAAAUGAUUUUACUGAGGAUAGUGACAAUAGUUAUGUAAAAAGAAAUCUAAAGGUAUCAGUUGCAGAUUCUGGUGGUGUUGAAUGUAUUCAGGGUAAGUUCAUUCAUUUGAACUCAGUUGAGAUGAAUUGUUGUGUCUGUAAUGGUAUGAACUGUUGAUGGCUAAAGUUGAUUAAGAUUAAGUCAGUUGUGUGGGUGUGCAGUCGAGUUCGUUUAACUGACAAUGGUGAUUGUAAUUAUUGAAGUUUAAGUGUGUUAGAAUUGAAAUUGUUAUGGUUUGGAUGAAUUAGUGAUUACAGGAUAUGGGAUUGGAUAACUAUGGGUGCCUGGAAUGAAAUUGAAGUUAUGAUGCAGAUUGUAUUGGGUUACAGAGAAUUGUGAUGAGUUACAGGGAUUGUAGUGGUGUUGUUGAGAUGAUGCAGGUGGAUGGAGAAAGAGAAUCACAGUUGUAGUUAAAUAUCUUGAGUUGCAAGUAAUCUGAAUUAAUAGUGAUUAUAGAGUUACAAUUAGUGUUGCUGUGAAAAGCUUAAAGCUGCAGUUGCAGGACGAACCAGUGGAUCGUGGAUCUCGAGGUAGGCGUGGCUUGUCAACAAAAAGAGUUUUUCAGUUAUCAGAAGAAUCAGUGCGCAUGAAGAUUUCCGUUUUUGUAGCUUAACGUUUGGGCGAAUUGAUGAUGUUUGUUUAUCGUUUAUAUUUGUAUUGUUUUGUUAAUUUGUUAAACAACACAUUGUUGUAUUCUUAUCACUUGAGAGAUUUUCGUUUAUGUAAUAUCAGAGUGUUGGGUUAAGUUUUGUAGAAGAUUUCUAAAUUGAAUGAUUAAGUUUAUGAUU